RNAcentral lists this microRNA (22 nucleotides) under Torque teno virus. RNAcentral describes it as "ttv-miR-T1-5p". Its record names the gene ttv-miR-T1-5p. Lineage: Floreoviria; Shotokuvirae; Commensaviricota; Cardeaviricetes; Sanitavirales; Anelloviridae. The record is from miRBase by way of RNAcentral.
AGUAGUUGAGGCGGACGGUGGC